RNAcentral lists this ribosomal RNA (492 nucleotides) under uncultured bacterium. RNAcentral's name for it is "partial 16S ribosomal RNA". It matches the Rfam family "Bacterial small subunit ribosomal RNA", at positions 29 to 507 of the family's 1533-position model. The record is from RNAcentral.
AGUGAACGCUGGCGGUAGGCCUAACACAUGCAAGUCGAACAGCAGCACAGUAAGAGCUUGCUCUUACGGGUGGCGAGUGGCGGACGGGUGAGGAAUACAUCGGAAUCUACUUUUUCGUGGGGGAUAACGUAGGGAAACUUACGCUAAUACCGCAUACGACCUACGGGUGAAAGCAGGGGAUCUUCGGACCUUGCGCGAUUGAAUGAGCCGAUGUCGGAUUAGCUAGUUGGCGGGGUAAAGGCCCACCAAGGCGACGAUCCGUAGCUGGUCUGAGAGGAUGAUCAGCCACACUGGAACUGAGACACGGUCCAGACUCCUACGGGAGGCAGCAGUGGGGAAUAUUGGACAAUGGGCGCAAGCCUGAUCCAGCCAUACCGCGUGGGUGAAGAAGGCCUUCAGGUUGUAAAGCCCUUUUGUUGGGAAAGAAAAGCAGCAGGUUAAUACCCCGCUGUUCUGACGGUACCCAAAGAAUAAGCACCGGCUAACUUCGUG